This 447-nucleotide ribosomal RNA is filed under the name uncultured bacterium. Its description in RNAcentral is "partial 16S ribosomal RNA". It matches the Rfam family "Bacterial small subunit ribosomal RNA", at positions 29 to 523 of the family's 1533-position model. The record is from RNAcentral.
AACGAACGCUGGCGGCAGGCUUAACACAUGCAAGUCGAGCGCCCCGCAAGGGGAGCGGCAGACGGGUGAGUAACACGUGGGAAUCUACCCAUCCCUACGGAACAACUCCGGGAAACUGGAGCUAAUACCGAAUACGUCCGUAAGGAGAAAGAUUUAUCGCUGAAGGAUCGGCCCGCGUCUGAUCAGCUAGUUGGUGAGGUAACGGCUCACCAAGGCGACGAUCAGUAGCUGGUCUGAGAGGAUGAUCAGCAUCACUGGGACUGAGACACGGCCCAGACUCCUACGGGAGGCAGCAGUGGGGAAUAUUGGACAAUGGGCGAAAGCCUGAUCCAGCCAUGCCGCGUGAGUGAUGAAGGCCUUAGGGUUGUAAAGCUCUUUCACCGGUGAAGAUAAUGACGGUAACCGGAGAAGAAGCCCCGGCUAACUUCGUGCCAGCCGCCGCCGUAA